GCUGUCUUAGCUCAAUUGGCAGAGCAGCUGAUUUGUAAUCAGCAGGUUGCAGGUUGCAAGUUCAAGUCUUGUCGGCAGCUUA
RNAcentral lists this transfer RNA (82 nucleotides) under Caudoviricetes sp. Its description in RNAcentral is "tRNA-Thr". It matches the Rfam family "tRNA". From Rfam's summary of the family: Transfer RNA (tRNA) molecules are approximately 80 nucleotides in length. Their secondary structure includes four short double-helical elements and three loops (D, anti-codon, and T loops). The record is from RNAcentral. Lineage: Duplodnaviria; Heunggongvirae; Uroviricota; Caudoviricetes.